UCACGGUUUGCACCGGCAGUCUUGUUAGAGUUCCCGACAUUACUCGCUGGCAACUAACAACAGGGGUUGCGCUCGUUAUAGGACUUAACCUGACACCUCACGGCACGAGCUGACGACAACCAUGCAGCACCUUGCAAAAUGUCCGAAGAAAAGGGUGUUUCCACCCCUGUCAUUAUGCAUUUAAGCCCUGGUAAGGUUCCUCGCGUAUCAUCGAAUUAAACCACAUGCUCCACCGCUUGUGCGGGCCCCCGUCAAUUCCUUUGAGUUUCAUUCUUGCGAACGUACUCCCCAGGUGGGAUACUUAUCACUUUCGCUUAACCACUCAUCACACCAAAGUGCAACAAACAGCUAGUAUCCAUCGUUUACGGCGUGGACUAC
RNAcentral lists this unclassified non-coding RNA (378 nucleotides) under uncultured Flavobacteriaceae bacterium. Its description in RNAcentral is "contains 16S-23S intergenic spacer region". Lineage: Bacteria; Pseudomonadati; Bacteroidota; Flavobacteriia; Flavobacteriales; Flavobacteriaceae. The record is from RNAcentral.